UUCUAAACUUAUUUUGCUAAGCUUGC
Molecule: non-coding RNA, 26 nt
Filed under: Mus musculus (house mouse)
Lineage: Eukaryota; Metazoa; Chordata; Mammalia; Rodentia; Muridae
Source: RNAcentral